Long non-coding RNA from Sapajus apella (tufted capuchin), 10598 nucleotides. RefSeq lists it as uncharacterized. Lineage: Eukaryota; Metazoa; Chordata; Mammalia; Primates; Cebidae. The transcript has 2 exons. The record is from RefSeq and is a predicted model, not a curated record.
CUGAGCUUAAGAGAUCUGCCUGCCUCAGCUUCCCAUAGUGCUGGAAGAUUACAGGCAUGAACCGCCAUGCCCAGUCAAAUGUUAUCAUUCUAAACAAGCUAUAAUAUUUUUCUUAUCACUAAUAUUUCUUCAGACUACAGUGGGAGGAUUUGGGGUGGAAUGAGCAACUUUCAUCUUUACAGAUUUCAGACCAAAAAUAUAGCUUUUUCUUUUUAAUCUAUUUUUUUCCCUCUGUUUUAAUGGUAAAGUUGACAGAGUGUUGAUGUUAUCAUGAAAAGUUCAGAACAGUUUGAUCUGUCACUCUUGUUCACAUUAGAGAUUAUUAUGUUCCAGAAUCAUAUUUCUAAAAUCCAAGAUGAAAUAUUUUUUGGGAGUCAUUCUAUAUUGAUUUCAGCUGUGAAUGAAGUAAAAGUGUUGUGGUUUCUAUCUCAAUUUAAUCAACCACUCUGUCUUGAGAGAAGUGAGAUAUCCUACCCUUUAUGUUUCACCUCAAAUUUCAUCUCUGCGAAUUCUUGUAUAACCAGAAGUUGGUUUCAUACUCAUGAUCACCAUUAUUACUAGUUCAUUUAAUACUGUUCAACUAAACGUCUUGCGGUGCCCUUACUGAACUAUUUAGCCAUUCAUUCCAAAAAUAAUCUAUGGGAAGAGAUAAUAUUUGCUGAGCAUUUACUGUGUGUUGGGCACUGUGCUAAGCACUUUGCAAAUAUCAUCUCCUUUAAUCCUAUUUUGAUUGCUUCUUUUCAGGGAUCUGGAGGUUAUAUUCUGCUUUACCAUGAUUUGAACCAGCAGGCUAUAACUGUUUAUGAGAAGGAAAUGCAUUUCAUUUCCCUGAAGCCUUGGGGUUACCCUGCUGCUUUACCUCUGUGGAUAGUAAGAAAGUGGAGAUAAGGACAAAGGCCAUGUAGCAGGUGUAUGGAAGGGAAAAUUGCUGGGUUUUUUAGCGGUACCAGGAACUGACUGCUUUAACCUCCAGCUGAGGUUCUUGGAAAACCUUGGAGUGAAGAAAGAUCAGGGAAAUAAAAGUUGUGAGUGCCUCCUAAGAAUCAUGUUUAGUAAUAUAUGCUUUGGUAUAUUUCAUCCUCACUUUACUAUGUGAAAUUUGUCUUAUUACCUCUGUCUUCAGAGAAACAUGAAGCUCAGACAAGUCAUAUGGCUAAUGCAUGUUGCUAUGGUUUGAAUAUUUGUCCCCUUCAAAAUUCAUGUUGAAAUUUAAUCUCCAAUGUGGUAGUACUGAGAGGUGGGCCUGUAAGAGGUGAUUGGGUCAUGAGGGCUCUGCCCUCAUAAAUGGAUUAAUCCAUUCAUUAGUUAAUGGUUUAAUGGGUUAUCAUGGGAAUAAGAUUAGUGGCUUGAUAAGAAGGAGAAGAGAAAAAUGAGCUAGCACCUUGCUAUGUGAUGUCCUUUGUUAACUUGGGAAUCUGCAGAGAGUCCCCACCAGCAAGAAAGCCUUCACAAGAUGCAGCCCCUUGACCGUGGACUUCUCAGCCUCCAUAACUGUAAGAAAUAAAUUUCUUUUCUUUAUUAAUUACCCAUUUUCAGGUACUCUUAUAAGCAGCAGAAAAUGGACUAACAUAUGUGUGAAGCUGGGGCUUGAACUAGGCCUGUUAGCCUUCAGAAAUAACCUUUUUUCCAUUGCUUCACAAUGAAAAGGAAAGAGAAGAAAAGGCAUGGUGGGGAGGAGAAUUGUGCAUUUACAAAAGCAACAUGAAUGUCAGAAAUUAAGAGGUUAAGACUGACAGAACCUGAUCAGAAUUCCUGACUUAGAUGCUGGAUUGAUAGGUAGCUGAGUUAAUAACCUGAUGAUAGGAAAAAUCACAUGUUGGGAAGCAAAUAGAGAAAUAAAAAAUAAUAGAUAUACUCAAUUUACAGCUAAAAUAAUCCCGUUUCAAUUGAUUGUUUUAGACUGUGAGCCACAUUCUUUUAUAAUAUAUUCUAUAAACCAUUUUGGGCAGCCGAUAAUUUUUUUUUCAAAAUGAGUUUCAGGUUUUUUUGAGUUUUUUUUCUAACUGACUUUAAAAGUUUAAUCACAUUCAGGUUGAAUAUAAUGUCUAGGGAAAAAAAAAGUUUAAUCACAUAUAGCCAGUUUCUAAAAAUUAUUUUUGCCCUUUGCAAAACAAGUCUUUUUAGGGAGGGAGACUCCUCCUAUCAUAAUUUAGGGUCUUUAAGUCAGAGCAAUGAGAAAUCAUCUUAAUUAAGGAAAACCCUUUAGUCUUCCCCAACAGCUGGUUUGCUUGCAAGCAGGAAAGACUAAAAAUGAAUCAGAGAAAAAGGGUUUGCACAAUUUCUAAAAUAACCUGAUAUAUUUAGAAGUGUGACUCUGUGUGUGUUUUCUUGUGCAAAUCUAGAAAACCAGUGAGCUUGUGUGAGUUUUAACUAUGUUGUAAUUUUCAGAAUCUUCAAGCAUCACAUAAAAUACACAGCAUAGUUCUGCAGCUCUUUAAUGUUCUGUUAUGCUUGGUUGAGAGAUUUGUAUUGGCAUAACAAUGUAUAAAAGUAAACAUUUAAUAUUUUAGAUUUAUAAACUGCAGUUGCUGUAUGUACAAACAUUGUUAAAAGGUACAUGAUAGUGUGUUAGAUAUUUCAGGUAUGAUACCCUGUGGCUAUCAGUGAGAAACAGUACGCUAGAGAAGUGCUAUUUAGACAGGUAUGUGUAUCCUUUAUCCCCUCCAUAUAUGUGAUGGUUUUUGGAGGUUUGUCCAUAGAACAACAGGUGGUGCCUAAUGUUAAAAGCCUAAAAGCAGUUACUAUGGAAACCAGAUGCAAAUUUAGAUCUGUGCAUCCACUCUUCACUGCAUACAGAAAAAAAAUUCUAUAAUAGAAAUGAAAAAACUGAAAUAUGAUUCACAUCCAUGUCUUCUGAGUCUUAAAUGUCUGCCAAAUACUGAAUGUUGAGUAAGCUACAACUUCUCAGACUGAACUUCCAAUAAAAUCUAUAAAAAUGAUGAAGUCAGAGAACGUUUCAAAAUGUUCUGUAUAUUUCUUCAUUUGUCAAAAUUCCCUUUUCUAAAUAUAGAUCUAAAAUAAUAGCAAAUCUAUUUUUGGACUAUGUAAAAUCUAUAAAUGUAUAGAUUAAAAAAGAUUUAAGAUACUAAGUGCUUAUUAUAUAUAAUUUACAAAGUGCUGAAAAGUAAAAUGAAAACAAGUCAAUCAUAGUCCCAAGACACAAACAAUUUUUAAUAUAAUUAUUUCAUAUAUUUGUGAUCAUGCACACAUACUGUAAAUACAUGCUGUGUUCUGUUUUUUUUUUUUUUUUUUUUCAUUUAACAUAACAUCAUAAGCCAACAUAUUAAAAAUGGUCACUGGCCAUAACUUUAAUGACAGCACAAUAUAUGAUUCUAUAGAUAGAUGUUAGGUACUUCAUCUUCCCAGUUAUGUGUUUGACAAAUUAGGAGUUGGAGCUUUUUUGUCAUUAUAUUUAACACUACAAUGACUGUGUUUGUGCAUAAGUGUUAUUCACAUUUUAGAUAUAUGCCAGUAAGUAGAAUAGCUGGGUAAAGAAUACAAAUUCAGAUUAAUGUAUAUUCCUUUCUUAUAUAUAAUAGAUAUAGAGUAUAUAUAUAAUACACACACACACACACACGGAGAGAGACAGAAAAAAAAAAAAAACAGAAACUUUUUCAAUUACAAAAGCCAGAAACCCAAUUUAAACCUAGGGGAUGAGGUAGGAGAAAUUUUUUGGUCCAUAUAACUCAAAGACCAAGGAUAAGGCCUGACUCUAGGUACAGUUUGACCCAAGGGUUUAAACAAUGUUAAUACCAAUAAUAGUAAACUUUCUUGAACACUUUCUACAUGUCAGGAACUGUUAAGUACUUUGUAUAAUUAACUCAUUUAACUUUCACAGCAUUCUAUGAAGAAAAUACAACUGUGAUUCCUAUUUUACAGCUUUCUCUCUAUCUCUUGUUUCUGCUCUCCUCUAUAUGGCUUCAGUCCCAGUCAGGUUCUCUCUGUCUAGCUGCUCCAGAUUCAUUCUCUCAGACCAAAGUCCACAAGAUGACUCUUGCCUCUUUUCCAGUUGCUCAGACAAAAGUUUCAAAUUAACUCUGGUCCUGCCUCCUAGCUUGGCCUUGGCCCCAUACUUGGCCCCAUUACUAGAACAUGCGACCCUGAUAGGCCACUCCUGAGCUAAACUAUUUCUCACCCCUGGAGCUGGGAAUGGAGUUAGCAGCCUCAAAGUACAUGACCUUACGGAUGAAAUAACUUACCCAUAGAUAAACCAAGUACUGUUUUCAAAAGCAGAGUAAAUAGAAAACAGAUGGUCACUUCCACUACAGCAACAAAUUCCACUACAAUGAGGACUCAGAAAUUUUUGGUUGCAUUUAGAGACGAGAACAGUGAAACAAGCUAAUUGGAUGAAAAAUAUCUUUCUAGUUCAAGUUUCUGAGGACUAGCAAUCAUUACUUUUUCAGAUUCACAAUACAGAGGAAUAGUUUUAAAUAGUCUCAAAGAACUGUUUAGAUGGCAGCCACACCUUAAAUAAAUGUGCUCAUUCUACAUGCAAAUCUAAAUAUACAUGUAAAUGAAGAAAUUUGAAGAAACCCUAGUGGAUUCGCUCUUUCCAGCUUAAAGCACACCCCAUUAUUAUCCUAAGCAUAUGGGUAUGGUCCAAGAAACUAUCUAGAUAGAGGUAAUUUUUCCCAACAAUAUGACAAAAUAUGAGGUGCCUUUGCUGCUGUGUCAGUGAUUGGGAUGUGAUAUAGACUAUUAUCUAUUCUACAGCUAGAAAAUCAGCCACAAGAACAAUGGCUGCAGUAUCUUAUUACAUUCACCAAGUAUGUCUGUUUAUUAAUCUUGAUGUUGUUUGCUAUGUAAUGGAGGUAAUGCAGACAGGGGGAAAAAUGUCUGAGUUGUACAUGGAUUGCUAUGGAAACAGCAACUGACCAAUCAAUGGAGAGUAGUCAGAACAUAUGUCUCCUCUCCUCUGCAGUCCUGAUGAAUUGAUGCCCUGAUAACUGCAAUCCUUUUGGCUCUGGUGCCACUAGUAGCAACAGUUUUUUGACAUCUAAAUAUAUGACAUACACCUGUUAUUUAAAAAUCAGAUGUAUAAAUGAUUAGUCUUAAAAUAUUCAACCUCUCUGUACAAGCACUCUCACAGGCAGUUAUUUCUCCCUCCAAAGUAUUUUCUAAAUUUCUCCUGCAUCCAUCACUCCUAAUCCUUUUAUUCACUAUUUCUUCACACCAUCUAGCUCACUUGCCUUCCCUCCCCUUUGCUAUCCCAAACCUCCUUAGUCUAGCAGCAAAUAGUAUUUUCCUCAACAUUGAUAAAUAUAAAUCAACAUGAGUCAAUUUAAAACUUUGUCCAAUUUUAGAGCUAAUUUUUUAAAGUAAUUGAAAAGCAUAUUCAGAACUACAAGAGUAUUCAACCACCAGACACAUGAAAAAAAGCAAUUUCAUAUUUCUCUAUUGAGUCCAGGAAAUAUAAACAGAUCUGUUUCUCAGAAAAGCUCAAGAAAAAUGUGAAGAAAUAAAAUAAAGCCCUUAGAAGCAUAGAUUAAAUUUAAAAAGAAUAAAUUACAUUUGACAAUAAUCUGCCAAUUGUUUAGACUAGUCACAUUGAUUAGAAAACGUGGUUGUAGGUUUCUCUGGGGUAGUGAACCCUUGAUCUGCAUAAAACUUCAGUCUCUUUUAGCCUUAAAUAAAUUGGGAGAGUGGAGAUGGGGGAGAAAAUGUUAUCUACAAUAGCUUCAGUGAGCAGGAAGGGAUGUGUGCCAUAAUGAUAAAGACAAAAUAGGGCCUUCUGGUCUUUGCUAUUGUCAUUGCAUAAACAGAUUUAAAGGACUGACUUCCAUUGAGCAGAUUGAACAAUAAAUAAUGGCUGCUGACAUUUAAACCUAUCUCAAGAUCACACAGUAAAUCUGUGAGGAUGACUGAGCACAAGUCUUAGAAUCAUUUAAUAUCCAACUGAUUCACUGGUAGAACAAUGGGCUGAUUUGAUAAUAUGGUGAUGUUCUUAUUAUCCAUGCUCACGGAAGAAAUAAGCGUUCUUCAAAACAAUUCUCUUUGUAUAUACACUGAGGCUUUGAAGAAACGUCCAAUACUCGUCUUCAUGCCUUUUUCGGGAGUUAUUCUGGGAGGUUGGAAUCAUUAGUAAACAAUGAAAGAUUUCCUGACUUCAUGAGGUAUACAUUCUAGCAGAGGAAGCAAACAACAGAAAUAAACAGAUUAAGCAAAUUAACUUUAUAGUAUGCUAGAAAGUAAAUGUUCUUGUUAAAGUGACUGGUAACCUCUUAAUUACUAACACCUCACCUUUCUUGCUUUCCUCUGAGCAUUUGGUAUUGUUGAAUCUAUCCUUAUUUUUUAUCUUUCAUCUCAUAGAUGGGCAAAUGUUUGGGGAGUACCUACUACACUAAACUCUAGGCAUUGUGCUGGGUGCUGGGGAUACAGCAGAGCUUGUGGCAUGUUGCAGCUACCCCCUUAUCUUCUAUCAGUCCUUCCUCUUUUCUAAUGCCACUGAGGGCCUCCCUGUUUAGCAAGCCCCUUUUUUUCUGUUUGCUCCAUAAAUAUUAUAAUUUUCUUUCUAUAUUUUGUCCAUAGUCCUCUUAGAUCCAUAUGCUUUAUUUGUGAUCUCACUGACUUCUGAGACUUCAACUGUCAUAAAUGUGAUAAUGACUCUAUCUUUGCAUCAUAUCACAAUAAUCCAUUCAUUUAUUCCUUUAAUAAAUAUAUAAUGAGCAUUUACUCUUUUCUAAGCAUUAUCCUGGGGAAUUCAAGAAUACAUAAAAAGGACAUGGUCUUUGCCCUUAUGGAGAUUACAGUCUAGUGGAGGAGACAGACAAAAACCAACUGAACAAGAAAAUGAAUGAAAAUGAUUAUACAUUAUAACAGUUUUCAUGCAUGAAACAAACAAGGGAAGAAGAAUAAGAAUAUAGGAAAUCUGCUACUAGAUAGGAUGGUCAGAAUAGACUCUGUGGAAGGCACAUUUGGGCAUAAAUUAAAUGAUAAACAUAAAACAACUUUGUUGAGAGUCUUCAGAGGAAGACUAUCCUAGGUGAAGGGAAUAGCAUAAGCUAAGGUGCUGAGGUAGGAAAAUAUUGCUGACCUUUGUGACUGGAUGAAAAUGAACUUGGGAGAGAGUACUGUGAUAUUACUUUGGAGAAAAACAUAAUAGUGUGAUGAUGCAGGAUCUUGAAGUCCUGAAAAAUAAUUUGGAUUCUUUUCUAGGUAGAUAUGGAAGGAACUGAAUUAUUCUAAGCAAGGGAUUGACAUAAUAUAAUUCACUUCUUUAUUAUUAUUCCUACCACUAAGAGGAAAGUGGAAUUGCUGAUCCCUUAAGACGCUGUUGGAGUUCAGACAAGGGAUCUGGUGGAUUUAACAUAAAUGUUUCAGUAUAAGUGAUAGGACUUUAUUUUCUUGGUUGGAGUGUGGUAGUUGGGAAAACUGAAAGAAUCAGAAAUGACUCAUAAGUAUCUGGCCUGAGCAAAUGGGUAACCCACUUGAUGAAUUAUUGCCACAAUUUUGUUUUUCUACUGACCACCAGGCUCUUUCUCUCCAGUUCAUCUUUUACCAUGCAGAAAGAGAGAUUUGGCUCACAGACAUAAUUUGAUUCUUUCUGUCUCCUGUUCAAAAGUCCCAUUUGAUUACCCAAAGCGUAUAGUUUUAAAUAUACAAAUAUGUUGAAUUGGGAUUCAACCUAUUUUCUGGCCUCACUCUGCUGCUGCCCUCCAUACACUGAGUUGUUCCUUUCACAGUGAGUCUCAUGCCAUUCUUUAGAUGCCACCAUCACAUUUCUCACACAUUUUUUUCUUUUGCCCAAGAUCUGGAAUGCUCUUCAUCCUCUUCGGCUCCUGAAAAACUCCGAUUGACUUUUCAGGACCCUGGCCCAGUGUUUUUUUCUUAAGGGACUUUCCCUGACUUCUUUAGAUAGGGUGACUUCUUUGCUAGAGCAUUUACUGCAUUUUGUAGUUUGCCAGUUCAUAUAUCUGUUUAUCUUGUUAGACCUGCAUUUCUCAAAGCAUGAUGAUAAGACCACUUGCAUUAGAAUCUCCUGAGAUAUUUAUUAAAAAUGUAUUUUCCUGGCUCAUUCUCAUUCUCUUUGCAUCAGAAUCUUUCUGGGUGGAUCCUGAGAAUCUCUACUUUAGUCAGUUAUUCAAGUGAUUCUUAUAUAUACUAACUCCAAGAAUCACUGUGGUGGGUUUUCCCUCAAUGGCAGGGCCCUAUCUUAUGCUUCUCUUGUUCUCCACCACUUAACACACAGGACAUGUUCAAAAGAUGUCUUUGGAAUGGAUACUGAUUUCAAACUAAUAUAUAUUAUUUAUCUAACAUACCAAUUAUUCAUUCAACACAUAAUUAACUCUGAUUAGUACUAUAUUAUUAGCAAGUUUCUAACAUUCUGGUUUUUCAUUCAUACUGUGUGAAGGUUUUUUAAAAAGCCAUAUGAUACAGCACUGCAAGAGAAAAUCAGACAUUUAUUCCUUCACACAAUCUUAAAAACAGAAAAAAAAUACAAACCUCAAUUUCUCCUUAGAAAUAAUGUUGUCUAUAAUGUUAUCCAAGAUAUUCACAAACAAGAGACAGAAAUAAUUCAAUAAAAUGUUUGUAACAAGUACACAUGUCCAGAAAACUCACUGAAAGCUAACUGUCCCCUAGAACGGAGCACACCACAGUGAACUCUCAAGAUUACAAUUAAACAGGCAAGUGAAAUUUGAUUUGUCUCUUCUUACUUGUCAGUGCUCAUAUAUGUAUGUUCCAUAACACUUUUCUCUGAGAGCAUUCUUUGGUUAUUCAUCAUUUCUUACUAAAAAAUGAUGACUCUCAUAAACUUCGAAGGUGUAAGUCCUCAUAUUGCUUUUCUUGGAUUACCUUUGGCUUGGACCAACUCUGCACCAGGAUCCCUGCCCUAGUUUUCCUGCCCAGCCAAGGCUCCCAUGCCUCCCCUGCCUCUUACUUCAUACCUGUUCAUACUUCAUAGCUGUCUUCAGCGACUUUAUUCCACACUUAUGCAGCUGAAUUCCUGAACAAUGCAGAGUGGCUGAGAAAGCUGAGGUUAAAGGCUAUGGGGAAAAGGCUGAUCUAUAGAGUAUGGGAGAUCCAAGUCCAAGAUGGCCUAGGGGAGAGGACAGACCACAGUAAGAGUGGAAAAAGUAUCUUCUGCCUCAGGACAUCUUGAAACAAUGGUUAAGCUCACAAGGAGCUAAGAUAAAGGAUACAUGGAGAGGCAGGACUUGGGCAUCAUGUUAUUAAGAUGAAAAUUCAUUUUCUAGUUGACUACUGGAAUCAAUCAAUUAUGUAUCAGGUAAAAUACACAGCAGCCACUAAAAAUACACAUAUGUUCAGUCCCUCAGGAGAGAAAUGCCCAUGAGCCCAAAUUCUAUUUGCAUAAGAAGAUAAAUAGUAUCAAUAUAUCAAUGAAAUUUUUAGCAUGAUAAAAUUGUCCUCAAAGAUUCCAGCAUCUCCUUUCCAUCUUCCCUUCCUUCUCAUUCUAUGUGAAGCUCUAUGAAUCUAGGAUCUUCCUGCUGUUUUUCAACCUAGGAAGGUUAAAAAGUAGGAAGACUGCUGUUCAUUACCUUAGACAAAUAAAGUAGUUACCAAGGCCACUAACAUGAGUCUCCAAAUCUAAUAUCAGUGGAGAGGCAAGAAGGUUCUCACUGAAAACAACACCAACCAAAAGUCUCUCUCACCUGACUAGUAUUGGCUGAAAUUCUGGCAGAAAACACAGAACUACUUUUUUGCACAAGUAGUAUUAAAAUCAUUGCAAACAAUGAAAAUAGGAAGGAAGAAUGAUAACCUACUAAAUUCCUGACAGUGAGUAGGUAUACUCAUAAAUUAUUCAUGUAUUUUCAGUCAAAAUACAAUGUACAUAUUUUAUUCCCAAAUGUAUGUGGAAGAAAGUUAGAUUCAAAUAGAAAUUGCGCACAUAGGCUUUUCUUUCGUUGAGGGACUGAACAUAUUUGUGUUUUUAGUGACUACUAUAUAUUACCUGAUAUCGAAUUGAUUGAUUUCAAUCAGGCACUGUUUACUCAAUUGAUUGCAAUUUACUGAAAGUGAAUUUUAAUGUUGGAUCCCAUUUUCUGCUGGUUUCUACUUUUAAAUGAAAUCCUUGAUCUUAUGGUUUUUCAGCCUAUGCAGUGAAAUUCUGACCCAGGCUUUAGUUACCAGGGAUCUAGUGAUCCUAAACCCAAUCUAAUAACUAAAGGGAGAGAUUGGAAAUAGUGGGUUACUGUGAGCCGUGAAAACAGCUGGAUAACCAGCUGGAUAGUUCUCACUUAAUUAGGGUGGUUUAUUGCUUUAUUAGAUUAAUAACCUUAGAAUCUUCUUGCAAAAGUAUCUGGGGUUAAGAUUUUCCUUAUACGACAUGGUACUCAAAAGAAAAAAAUACCACAAUUGUACUUUACUUGUUAUUUGAUAAAUACUCAUUAGAGACCUAGAAUUUUAUUUCUGGACAUACAAUAGUUCACAAGUAGAAAAAAUUCACAGCUCUCAUAGAACCUACGUCCUAGAGGAGGGAUAAUAAACAAAGCAAAAAUAAUAAAUAGUAUCAGAUAAUGACAAAUACCAUGAAGGGGGAAAAAAAGCAGGAGAUGGAAAUGGAGAGGUCAGGGGUUACAAUUUGACAUUGGCCAGAGAAGUCCUAAGAAGGUGGCAUGGAAAAUAAGAGCAAAAAGAGG